Molecule: ribosomal RNA, 390 nt
Filed under: uncultured bacterium
Lineage: Bacteria
Description: bacterial SSU rRNA
Rfam family: Bacterial small subunit ribosomal RNA
Source: RNAcentral
AAUGAACGCUGGCGGCGCGCCUAAUACAUGCAAGUCGAGCGAGAAGACGUAGCAAUACGUUUGUAAAGCGGCGAACGGGUGAGGAAUACAUGGGUAACCUACCCUCGAGUGGGGAAUAACUAGCCGAAAGGUUAGCUAAUACCGCGUACGCUCCUUGGACUUCGGUUCAGGGAGGAAAGCGAUACCGUGGGUAUCGCGCUCUUGGUUGGGCUCAUGUCCUAUCAGCUUGUUGGUGAGGAACGGCUCACCAAGGCUUCGACGGGUAGCUGGUCUGAGAGGACGAUCAGCCACACUGGCACUGCGACACGGGCCAGACUCCUACGGGAGGCAGCAGUAAGGAAUAUUGCGCAAUGGGCGAAAGCCUGACGCAGCGACGCCGCGUGGGGGAGU